UUGAUGUGGAACGAGGCUGGUAAAAACAUCGGUAAACCGCGUUGUAACAGCCAGAUAUUUAACCGUGGUAGUUUGGUGAAAAUAUAUAUAACAUACUGACUGUUUACAUCUGAAAAUGGUAAGUUGACAGACGUUUGUUUUUCAUGCUGUAAUAUUGUCUGUAAAUAAUAAAAAAUUGGCAAUCUUUCGUCUCUAGUAGACCUUUCCGUCGAUUUCCGUAAGAAACUUCUUUUUUUUUUACAUAUGGGCUUGCGGGAACUUUUGAUGUAAUGAGAGCGAAAGAGACUAAGAGAAAGCGAUUGUAUGACGGGGGAAGUUCUUUUGAAGUUACCGUGCAUGGCAAGCAUUGAUGUAGAUGUGUGUGUGCUUCUAGAGACGAAAGAUCGCCAAUAAGGCAUAAAAUUUUGUUUCACUUGAAGAAAGCGUGAAACCCGGUCAAAAAACAACAAAAAGAAAAUUGCGUAAUAGGUGUAAAACAACGGUACUACUAGCGAACAGUGGGCCCAGUGCGCGCUAGCUAGUCGUGACUAGUCGAUCUUAGAACGACUCCCUAGCAAAGUAAAUACAACACAAAAUAAAUAAUUUUUUUUACACAAAGUAAAUAAUUUUUUGGCAAUCUGAAACGAAGUAAAUAACACUGUUCGGCCCGAGGCUAUAGUAGAAGACACUUGUCCAAGGUGCCACGCAGUGGGACUGAACCCGGAACCAUGUCGUUGGUAAGCAAGCUACUUACCACACAGCCAGGCAGAUUUAAUAAAAAGUGCAGUUCCAAAUUCUCAGUACAUUACAAAAUAUGAGAGACACCUGAAAAAGUCAUGAAGAUACAGUGGCUAAAGACCGUUGUCCAGGUAUAAUGCAUAAUUAUUAUUGUUUAUUGUAAAGUAUGUAAUGUUACACAAUCUGGUGUACCUGUUGUGUGAAAAUAGGUAAACUUCACACAGCUUCCUAUAAUGUAAUUUUGAUGACAAAUAAAUAAGUGAAGUAUAAUUAUUGAGGUAAAAUUUUUAUGUCUAAAGUUUAUCUAAAGGCGCAGGAGUGGCUGUGUGGUAUGUAGCUUGUUUACCAACCACAUGGUUCUGGGUUCAGUCCCACUGCGUGGCAUCUUGGGCAAGUGUCUUCUGCUAUAGCCCCAUGCCGACCAAUGCCUUGUGAGUGGAUUUGGUAAACGGAAACUGAAAGAAGCCAAUAUAGCUGCAGGAGUGGCUGUGUGGUAAGUAGCCUGUUUACCAACCACAUGGUUCCGGGUUCAGUCCCACUGCGUGGCAUCUUGUGCAAGUGUCUUCUGCUAUAGCCCCAGGCCAACCAAUGCCUUGUGAGUGGAUUUGGUAAACGGAAACUGAAAGAAGCCUGUCGUAUAUAUGUAUAUAUAUGUGUGUGUGUGUGUUUGUGUGUCUGUGUUUGUCCCCUUAGCAUUGCUUGACAACCGAUGCUGGUGUGUUUACGUCCCCGUUACUUAGCGGUUCGGCAAAAAGAGACCGAUAGAAUAAGUACUGAGCUUACAAAGAAUAAAUCCCAGGGUCGAUUUGCUCGACCAAAGGCGGUGCUCCAGCAUGGCCGCAGUCAAAUGACUGAAACAAGUAAAAGGGAGUAAAAUAAAUUAUUAUUGUUUAUUGUAAAUGCAUGUAAUGUUACACAAUCUGGUGUACCUGUUGUGUGAAAAUAGGUAAGCUUCACACAGCUUUCUAUAAUGUAAUUUUGAUGACAAAUAAAUAAGUGAAGUGGAAGCACUCCGUCGGUUCCGACGACGAGGGUUCCGGUUGAUCCGAAUCAACGGAACAGCCUGCUCGUGAAAUUAACGUGUAUGUGGCUGAGCAUUCCACAGACACGUGUAGCCUUAACGUAGUUCUCGGGGAUAUUCAGCGUGACACAGAGAGUGACAAGGCUGGCCCUUUGAAAUACAGGUACAACAGAAACAGGAAGUAAGAGUGAGAGAAAGUUGUGGUGAAAGAGUACAGCAGGGAUCACCACCAUCCCCUGCCGGAGCCUCGUGGAGCUUUUAGGUGUUUUCGCUCAAUAAACACUCACAACGCCCAGUCUGGGAAUCGAAACCACGAUCCUAUGACCGAGAGUCCGCUGCCCUAACCACUGGGCCAUUGCGCCUCCACUAUAAGUGAAGCAUAAUUAUUGAGGUAAAAUUUUUAUGUCUAAAGUUUAUCAAAAUAGUAAAAUUUCACUUCUGAAUCUAUUUUCUAAUAUCUUUCAUGGUUUUUUUGUCAUUUCAGAAAAUCAAAUGACGUCAACAUCAAAGAUCCAUUAUCAAUAUUUGUCACCAUUUACAGACUUGAGAAAGCAGUUAUACAGAAAACAUACAACACUGUUUCUAUAAAUUUGUUUUGGGUUGCUGUGACAGUUAUUCUUCCGAGUGAAACAUUUCUCUUCGUUGUAUAUAGGAUGGGUGUAAGAUGAUAUUGUAUUACACUUAAAUUUGGACAGAUUUACAAAUGAAUUUUGUUGCUAUUCCUUUUACCAG
This 2470-nucleotide long non-coding RNA is filed under the name Octopus vulgaris (common octopus). Lineage: Eukaryota; Metazoa; Mollusca; Cephalopoda; Octopoda; Octopodidae. The record is from RNAcentral.